Molecule: ribosomal RNA, 702 nt
Filed under: uncultured Bacteroidales bacterium
Lineage: Bacteria; Pseudomonadati; Bacteroidota; Bacteroidia; Bacteroidales
Description: bacterial SSU rRNA
Rfam family: Bacterial small subunit ribosomal RNA
Source: RNAcentral
UCGAGGGGCAGCAUGGUCUUAGCUUGCUAAGGCCGAUGGCGACCGGCGCACGGGUGAGUAACACGUAUCCAACCUGCCGUCUACUCUUGGACAGCCUUCUGAAAGGAAGAUUAAUACAAGAUGGCAUCAUGAGUCCGCAUGUUCACAUGAUUAAAGGUAUUCCGGUAGACGAUGGGGAUGCGUUCCAUUAGAUAGUAGGCGGGGUAACGGCCCACCUAGUCUUCGAUGGAUAGGGGUUCUGAGAGGAAGGUCCCCCACAUUGGAACUGAGACACGGUCCAAACUCCUACGGGAGGCAGCAGUGAGGAAUAUUGGUCAAUGGGCGAGAGCCUGAACCAGCCAAGUAGCGUGAAGGAUGACUGCCCUAUGGGUUGUAAACUUCUUUUAUAAAGGAAUAAAGUCGGGUAUGGAUACCCGUUUGCAUGUACUUUAUGAAUAAGGAUCGGCUAACUCCGUGCCAGCAGCCGCGGUAAUACGGAGGAUCCGAGCGUUAUCCGGAUUUAUUGGGUUUAAAGGGAGCGUAGAUGGAUGUUUAAGUCAGUUGUGAAAGUUUGCGGCUCAACCGUAAAAUUGCAGUUGAUACUGGAUAUCUUGAGUGCAGUUGAGGCAGGCGGAAUUCGUGGUGUAGCGGUGAAAUGCUUAGAUAUCACGAAGAACUCCGAUUGCGAAGGCAGCCUGCUAAGCUGCAACUGACAUUGAGGCU